AAAGAUUUAGUUAAUAAAUAACGUCAAUUUGUCAAAUUGAAAUAAAUAUGGUAUAUUAAUUUUUU
Molecule: transfer RNA, 65 nt
Filed under: Usechus lacerta
Lineage: Eukaryota; Metazoa; Arthropoda; Insecta; Coleoptera; Zopheridae
Description: tRNA-Asp
Source: RNAcentral